This 304-nucleotide ribosomal RNA is filed under the name uncultured bacterium. RNAcentral describes it as "partial 16S ribosomal RNA". It matches the Rfam family "Bacterial small subunit ribosomal RNA", at positions 509 to 807 of the family's 1533-position model. The record is from RNAcentral.
CAGCAGUCGCCGCGGUAAAACGUAGGUGGCAAGCGUUGUCCGGAAUUAUUGGGCGUAAAGGGCUCGCAGGCGGUUUCUUAAGUCUGAUGUGAAAGCCCCCGGCUCAACCGGGGAGGGUCAUUGGAAACUGGGAAACUUGAGUGCAGAAGAGGAGAGUGGAAUUCCACGUGUAGCGGUGAAAUGCGUGGAGAUGUGGAGGAACACCAGUGGCGAAGGCGACUCUCUGGUCUGUAACUGACGCUGAGGAGCGAAAGCGUGGGGAGCGAGCAGGAUUAGAUACCCCAGUAGUCCCUGUCUCUUAUAC